AGAGUUUGAUCCUGGCUCAGGACGAACGCUGGCGGCGUGCCUAAUACAUGCAAGUCGAGCGGACGAAUCGAAAGCUUGCUUUUGAUUCGUUAGCGGCGGACGGGUGAGUAACACGUGGGCAACCUGCCCUGUAGACGGGGAUAACACCGAGAAAUCGGUGCUAAUACCGGAUAACACGAAAUGUCGCAUGACGUUUCGUUGAAAGACGGCGCAAGCUGUCGCUACAGGAUGGGCCCGCGGCGCAUUAGCUAGUUGGUGAGGUAACGGCUCACCAAGGCGAUGAUGCGUAGCCGACCUGAGAGGGUGAUCGGCCACACUGGGACUGAGACACGGCCCAGACUCCUACGGGAGGCAGCAGUAGGGAAUCUUCCGCAAUGGACGAAAGUCUGACGGAGCAACGCCGCGUGAGCGAAGAAGGCCUUCGGGUCGUAAAGCUCUGUUGUUAGGGAAGAACAAGUAACGCAGUAACUGGCGUUAUCGUGACGGUACCUAACGAGAAAGCCACGGCUAACUACGUGCCAGCAGCCGCGGUAAUACGUAGGUGGCAAGCGUUGUCCGGAAUUAUUGGGCGUAAAGCGCGCGCAGGCGGUUCCUUAAGUCUGAUGUGAAAGCCCACGGCUCAACCGUGGAGGGUCAUUGGAAACUGGGGGACUUGAGUGCAGAAGAGGAGAGCGGAAUUCCACGUGUAGCGGUGAAAUGCGUAGAGAUGUGGAGGAACACCAGUGGCGAAGGGCGGCUCUCUGGUCUGUAACUGACGCUGAGGCGCGAAAGCGUGGGGAGCAAACAGGAUUAGAUACCCU
Molecule: ribosomal RNA, 800 nt
Filed under: uncultured bacterium
Lineage: Bacteria
Description: bacterial SSU rRNA
Rfam family: Bacterial small subunit ribosomal RNA
Source: RNAcentral